RNAcentral lists this ribosomal RNA (454 nucleotides) under Peptostreptococcus stomatis. RNAcentral describes it as "bacterial SSU rRNA". It matches the Rfam family "Bacterial small subunit ribosomal RNA", at positions 28 to 448 of the family's 1533-position model. Lineage: Bacteria; Bacillati; Bacillota; Clostridia; Peptostreptococcales; Peptostreptococcaceae. The record is from RNAcentral.
GAUGAACGCGGCGGCGUGCCUAACACAUGCAAGUCGAGCGAGGGUUUGCUCAGUAUUGAGUAUUCUAAGACUAGAAUGUUCAAUUCUGAGCAAAACCAAGCGGCGGACGGGUGAGUAACGCGUGGGUAACCUGCCCUAUACACAUGGAUAACAUACUGAAAAGUUUACUAAUACAUGAUAAUAUAUGUUUGCGGCAUCGCAGAUAUAUCAAAGUGUUAGCGGUAUAGGAUGGACCCGCGUCUGAUUAGCUAGUUGGUGAGAUAACUGCCCACCAAGGCGACGAUCAGUAGCCGACCUGAGAGGGUGAUCGGCCACAUUGGAACUGAGACACGGUCCAAACUCCUACGGGAGGCAGCAGUGGGGAAUAUUGCACAAUGGGCGAAAGCCUGAUGCAGCAACGCCGCGUGAACGAUGAAGGUCUUCGGAUCGUAAAAGUUUCUGUUGCAGGGGAAAG